CAGCGGCAAUUUUUCGCCGUGGUCCGGCCAAGGCUCGUCCCCCGCCUUUUCCGGGCAAUAGCGGCAGCCUCAUCCCCCCUCUCCGGGCUGCCGCGGUGUUUCAAGCAUGGCCGCCGUGGUAUCCCCUCCACCACGGCGGCACUUG
Molecule: small RNA, 145 nt
Filed under: Nitratireductor pacificus pht-3B
Lineage: Bacteria; Pseudomonadati; Pseudomonadota; Alphaproteobacteria; Hyphomicrobiales; Phyllobacteriaceae
Description: Nitratireductor sp. Pht-3B Alphaproteobacterial sRNA ar7
Rfam family: Alphaproteobacterial sRNA ar7
Source: Rfam by way of RNAcentral